GCCAGAAUGGUGGAAUGGUUUGAGUACUGGACUACAACUCUGGAGACCAGGGUUCAAAUCCCAAUUCUGCCA
Phrynosoma platyrhinos (Desert horned lizard) is the source of this 72-nucleotide non-coding RNA. NCBI's taxonomy places the organism in Eukaryota, Metazoa, Chordata, Lepidosauria, Squamata, Phrynosomatidae. The record is from the annotation of a GenBank genome assembly.